RNAcentral lists this long non-coding RNA (553 nucleotides) under Brachypodium distachyon (stiff brome). RNAcentral describes it as "long non-coding RNA (BDIS_LNC003003)". The record is from RNAcentral. Lineage: Eukaryota; Viridiplantae; Streptophyta; Magnoliopsida; Poales; Poaceae.
GGCGCCUUCCCUACGGGGAUGAAGACCCUGACAGGCGGGCCCCGCCUGUCAGGGGCUCGUGGCGGGCGCGCGUGGGGCACUGGGCCGGCUGGGCUGCGGUGCGCGCGCGAGGGAUGACCUGGUUCGGCCCAAUUAGGCCGGGCCAGUCCGGUUUUCUCUUUUUUUCUUUUCCCUUUUCUUUUUCCUUUUUUGUUUUUUCUUUGAUAACUUUUGAUUUUGAACUUCAGAUUGAUCCAAAUAAAUUCCAGAAAAUUUGCAAAAUCAUGUUUUAUCAUGAUUCAAGUUUUGGGAGUAAUUUCCCCUAAAAAUAAAAUAUAUAAAAAUACAUUUUCCCUAUAAAUCCCUUUAGGGCUAUAUAACUAUUUAAAUAAAAUAGUUUUUCAACUCCAAAUAAAUAUCCAAAAAUUAUGGGAUAGCUUAUUUAUGCAAUAAACCCAUUUUAUAGUUAAACCCUAUUGGUUUAAAGAUCCAAAGCUCAAAUGGGUGAAACCCUAGGGUUUAAAAUGAAGUAAAAACCUUUUUAAAGCCUUUUGAGAUUCAAAUUUGAAUUCAA